AUACGUAGGGAGCGAGCGUUGUCCGGAAUUACUGGGCGUAAAGGGCGCGUAGGCGGCGCUUCAAGUCGUCUGUCAAAUGGAAGGGCUUGACCCUUUUUCGCAGACGAAACUGGAGAGCUUGAGAAGCAGAGAGGCAAACAGAAUUCCUGGUGUAGCGGUGAAAUGCGUAGAUAUCAGGAAGAAUACCAGUGGCGAAGGCGGUUUGCUGGCUGCAUACUGACGCUGAAGCGCGAAAGCCAGGGGAGCGAACGGGAUUAGAUACCCCGGUAGUCCUGGCAGUAAACGAUGUAUGCUGGGUGUGAGACUAGCGAUAGUUUCGUGCCGAAGUUAACGCGAUAAGCAUACCGCCUGGGGAGUACGGUCGCAAGAUUGAAACUCAAAG
Molecule: ribosomal RNA, 382 nt
Filed under: uncultured bacterium
Lineage: Bacteria
Description: partial 16S ribosomal RNA
Rfam family: Bacterial small subunit ribosomal RNA
Source: RNAcentral